AGUCGAGGGGUAUAGUUCUUCGGAACUAGAGACCGGCGCACGGGUGCGUAACGCGUAUGCAAUCUACCUUUUACAGAGGGAUAGCCCAGAGAAAUUUGGAUUAAUACCUCAUAGUAUUAUGAAAUGGCAUCAUUUUAUAAUUAAAGUCACAACGGUAAAAGAUGAGCAUGCGUCCCAUUAGCUAGUUGGUAAGGUAACGGCUUACCAAGGCUACGAUGGGUAGGGGUCCUGAGAGGGAGAUCCCCCACACUGGUACUGAGACACGGACCAGACUCCUACGGGAGGCAGCAGUGAGGAAUAUUGGACAAUGGGCGCAAGCCUGAUCCAGCCAUGCCGCGUGCAGGAUGACGGUCCUAUGGAUUGUAAACUGCUUUUAUACAGGAAGAAACACUGGUUCGUGAACCAGCUUGACGGUACUGUAAGAAUAAGGAUCGGCUAACUCCGUGCCAGCAGCCGCGGUAAUACGGAGGAUCCAAGCGUUAUCCGGAAUCAUUGGGUUUAAAGGGUCCGUAGGCGGUUUAAUAAGUCAGUGGUGAAAGCCCAUCGCUCAACGGUGGAACGGCCAUUGAUACUGUUAAACUUGAAUUAUUAGGAAGUAACUAGAAUAUGUAGUGUAGCGGUGAAAUGCUUAGAGAUUACAUGGAAUACCAAUUGCGAAGGCAGGUUACUACUAAUUGAUUGACGCUGAUGG
This 691-nucleotide ribosomal RNA is filed under the name Flavobacterium sp. T18.08.P.BNT.GC.H.Gill.D.M. RNAcentral describes it as "bacterial SSU rRNA". It matches the Rfam family "Bacterial small subunit ribosomal RNA", at positions 60 to 752 of the family's 1533-position model. The record is from RNAcentral. Lineage: Bacteria; Pseudomonadati; Bacteroidota; Flavobacteriia; Flavobacteriales; Flavobacteriaceae.